UCAGGAUGAACGCUGGCGGCGUGCUUAACACAUGCAAGUCGAACGAUGACCUCCAGCUUGCUGGGGUGAUUAGUGGCGAACGGGUGAGUAACACGUGAGUAACCUGCCCUUAACUCUGGGAUAAGCCUGGGAAACUGGGUCUAAUACCGGAUAUGACUCCUCAUCGCAUGGUGGGGGGUGGAAAGCUUUUUGUGGUUUUGGAUGGACUCGCGGCCUAUCAGCUUGUUGGUGAGGUAAUGGCUCACCAAGGCGACGACGGGUAGCCGGCCUGAGAGGGUGACCGGCCACACUGGGACUGAGACACGGCCCAGACUCCUACGGGAGGCAGCAGUGGGGAAUAUUGCACAAUGGGCGAAAGCCUGAUGCAGCGACGCCGCGUGAGGGAUGACGGCCUUCGGGUUGUAAACCUCUUUCAGUAGGGAAGAAGCGAAAGUGACGG
Molecule: ribosomal RNA, 439 nt
Filed under: soil bacterium 10V-07
Lineage: Bacteria
Description: bacterial SSU rRNA
Rfam family: Bacterial small subunit ribosomal RNA
Source: RNAcentral